AUACUUGUCUGUGAGCACAGAGUGGGGAAGUGGCUGAAGGCAGAACAAGAACACAGGGGUCCACUUUCUAAGGCCUCGUGGCCUUUAUAGCUCUACAAACCCCAAGUGUCCCUAACUCUUCUCUCUCAAGGGAUACAGACUCUGAUAUAACUGGAUUCUAUGCUCCAAACUCAAAGGGAAUGCAGUAGAAGCUGAAAAACGAAUUUUUUGAUGUAUUUUUCUAGAACACUAUUGUCUAAUUUUCAUGGCAGCCUAGCAUGGUGCAAGGUUGUCUUGGUUUAAGUUCCAGGAAAAAAUACCCAGCAAGAAGAAUCUGAGUACAAGAAAUUUUGGGGAGAGAUGGUCCCAGGAAGCAAAGGAGGGGAAGAGAGGAAGCAAGACAAGGAAGGGGAAAAAUAAGCCUCAGAGUCAUCCCAACCAAGAGGCAAGGGAGAUGGGGAUGGUACAAAACAGAAGAGGGAACGGAAAAAGACAGUCUCAUUCAGCAGCAUGCCAACAGAGAAGAAGAUCAGCAGUGCAAGUGAUUGUAUUAAUUCAAUGGUUGAGGGUUCAGAACUCAAAAAGGUUCGCUCCAACUCUAGAAUUUAUCAUAGGUACUUUUUACUGGAUGCUGACAUGCAGAGCCUAAGGUGGGAGCCAUCUAAGAAGGAUUCUGAGAAAGCCAAGAUUGACAUUAAAUCCAUCAAGGAAGUGAGAACAGGAAAAAACACAGACAUAUUCCGCAGCAAUGGCAUUUCUGACCAGAUAUCUGAAGAUUGUGCGUUUUCCGUCAUAUAUGGAGAGAAUUAUGAGUCACUGGAUUUGGUUGCCAACUCCGCAGAUGUUGCAAACAUCUGGGUUACAGGACUGCGAAAACCACUGUUCCAUUAAACAACAGAAGGUAAUGGUUCAGCACAUGAAGAAACUUUUAGGAGACAAGCUCUAUACAACAUCACCCAAUGUUGAGGAAUCUUAUCUACCAUCCCCAGAUGUCCUGAAAGGGAAAAUACUAAUUAAAGCAAAGAAGCUGUCCUCAAAUUGCUCUGGGGUAG
This 1031-nucleotide unclassified non-coding RNA is filed under the name Homo sapiens (human). RNAcentral's name for it is "phospholipase C like 2 (ENSG00000284017.2)". Lineage: Eukaryota; Metazoa; Chordata; Mammalia; Primates; Hominidae. The record is from RNAcentral.